UAUAGUACCGAAGUUCCUGAUUCCACACUGCCAAGAAAAGCCUCUAGCGAGGCGGGAGGUGCCCGUACCGCAAACCGACACAGGUAGGCGAGGAGAGAAUCCUAAGGGGAUCGAGAGAACUCUCGUUAAGGAACUCGGCAAAAUGACCCCGUAACUUCGGGAGAAGGGGUGCUCUGGUAGGGUGUAUAGCCCGAGAGAGCCGCAGUGAAUAGGCCCAGGCGACUGUUUAGCAAAAACACAGGUCUCUGCGAAGCCGCAAGGCGAAGUAUAGGGGCUGACGCCUGCCCGGUGCUGGAAGGUUAAGAGGAGGGGUUAUCCUUUGGGAGAAGCUCUGAAUCGAAGCCCCAGUAAACGGCGGCCGUAACUAUAACGGUCCUAAGGUAGCGAAAUUCCUUGUCGGGUAAGUUCCGACCCGCACGAAAGGCGUAACGAUCUGGGCACUGUCUCAACGAGAGACUCGGUGAAAUUAUAGUACCUGUGAAGAUGCAGGUUACCCGCGACAGGACGGAAAGACCCCGUGGAGCUUUACUGUAGCCUGAUAUUGAAUUUUGGUACAGCUUGUACAGGAUAGGUAGGAGCCUGAGAAGCCGGAGCGCUAGCUUCGGUGGAGGCGUCGGUGGGAUACUACCCUGGCUGUAUUGAAAUUCUAACCCGCGGCCCUGAUCGGGCCGGGAGACAGUGUCAGGUGGGCAGUUUGACUGGGGCGGUCGCCUCCUAAAAUGUAACGGAGGCGCCCAAAGGGUCCCUCAGAAUGGGUGGAAAUCAUUCGUAGAGGGUAAAGGCACAAGGGAGCUUGACUGCGAGACCUACAAGUCGAGCAGGGACGAAAGUCGGGCUUAGUGAUCCGGUGGUUCCGCAUGGAAGGGCCAUCGCUCAACGGAUAAAAGCUACCCCGGGGAUAACAGGCUUAUCUCCCCCAAGAGUCCACAUCGACGGGGAGGUUUGGCACCUCGAUGUCGGCUCAUCGCAUCCUGGGGCUGUAGUCGGUCCCAAGGGUUGGGCUGUUCGCCCAUUAAAGCGGUACGCGAGCUGGGUUCAGAACGUCGUGAGACAGUUCGGUCCCUAUCCGUCGUGGGCGUAGGAAAUUUGAGAGGAGCUGUCCUUAGUACGAGAGGACCGGGAUGGACACACCGCUGGUGUACCAGUUGUCUUGCCAAAGGCAUCGCUGGGUAGCUAUGUGUGGACGGGAUAAGUGCUGAAAGCAUCUAAGCAUGAAGCCCCCCUCAAGAUGAGAUUUCCCAUAGCGCAAGCUAGUAAGAUCUCUGAAAGAUGAUCAGGUUGAUAGGUCAGAGGUGGAAGCGUGGCGACAUGUGUAGCUGACUGAUACUAAUCGAUCGAGGACUUAACCAAG
Molecule: ribosomal RNA, 1351 nt
Filed under: Priestia megaterium
Lineage: Bacteria; Bacillati; Bacillota; Bacilli; Caryophanales; Bacillaceae
Description: bacterial LSU rRNA
Rfam family: Bacterial large subunit ribosomal RNA
Source: RNAcentral